Molecule: long non-coding RNA, 1593 nt
Organism: Rosa chinensis
Lineage: Eukaryota; Viridiplantae; Streptophyta; Magnoliopsida; Rosales; Rosaceae
Exons: 8
Source: RefSeq, a predicted model, not a curated record
UUGAGUUUUUGCGGAAUAGUCCCCAGCCCUCUCCGAUUCUCUCUCUCUGUUUCCCUUCAGACCCGGCGGUUUCCGCCGACCCGACCCGGCCCUAUCUUCCUCCUCCGGCGUCCUCCGGCAACGACCCGGCCAUCCCCAUGAUCGCCGCUCCACGCUGAGGCUCCCUCUGGUGUCGCCUUGCUCCGCCGCUGCCCCGAAAGCCGGAUCGAAGAAGCUCAGUCGUGCGAUCGGACCCGGCCGGAAAACUACUUUUCCGGCGAUGCAUGGGCCGAUCCUUCCCAUUUUCGUGAUCUCCUCCUCCCCCUGAUCAUCCUCAUAUCCUCCUUGCUCGACGAUUUUGAGUGUGGAGUGAAAGAUCACAAGUUGAAGUUUGGACGUCCCUGAUUCAAUCUGGAAACGUGAUCGACGGCCGUGAUUAAUCCAAACUUCAAAGCUUGAUCUAGGGCGAUCUAGACCGAAUCUCGCUUAGCUCCAGAAGAUGAGAUCACGACAGUGAAACAAGCUAUGGGGAGCUGGGUAAUGUGGCCGAGAAACCUGAUCAUAUUUAAUGAAAAGAAAAAAGCGGGUGCUAAAGCAAGUAGGAAGCAGAAAAGGAAUCAGCUUAAUUACGCAAGAUUCAGAAGAAGAGUUUGACUUGCAGUCACUCGAAUCACAGUUGCCAGCCGCAUUGCAGAGGUUAUGUUAAUGGGGGAAAAGAAGGGUUCAAAGAUGGAAAAGCUGUUUGCUUUUAUAAAGAAGAGCCUGUGUUUGGUAUUAAUGCUAAGAGCUAUCUACUUGACUUAGAUGUGAUGAGGCUUGCAAACAUGGCAGAGGUAACAGGAACCCUCAUAGUGCUGUACAUGAGGUACUUGUAUGAUGUAUUAAAAGAGUCCAAAAUGCUAGACAUGGUUGGUUUCAUUGACCCUGCAAUGACUGGUGAGAAAGGGUGUGGGAGUGCAACAUCGAGGUCCCGAAGUGUAAAAGAUUGCCUCAUAAGUGCUUCUCCAAAUCAGAUUUCCUUAUUGCCUUACAAUGCAUCUGUUCAUUGGAUGUUGACUGUGAUCGAUCCGGACAAUGAAAUUGUCUAUUUUAUGGAUCCAUUGAGAAGACGCCUGUAGGCGGAGAAUGGAAAGGUAUUGUUGACAUUGCCAUAUCAAUGUUUAAAAGGGAACGUAACAAGAAAGGACGAAGUUCUGUUCAAUGGAAGAACAUGGCAGGUAUUCCAUCACAGCCAAAUGACAAACAAUGCGGUUAUUUUGUGAUGAGAUAUAUGAGGGAUAUCAUCCAUGAUACAGACCUGUCAUUUGCAGAUAAGUGGGCUAGGAGAGCCAACCAUGUUUAUGGUCAAGUGGAAAUUGAUGAAGUGCGUAAUGAGAUCGCAAAUUAUGUGGUGAAGAACAUCCUCAAGCUGUAAAGUAUGUAGUUACUCAUGCCGUAGAAGCUCUGAAGUGAAAUAGGGAGGAAAUGUGUUUUUGUGCUCUGAAGUGACAAUUUAAAGUACAUUUCUGGACCUAUUUUGUUAGUGGUGUAGUAUAAAUGUGCUCCAUCUUUUGGUAUUGGAGUAUUAUAGAUAUUCUCCUUAUUUUGCAUUGUCUAAUCCAUUUAGGUACAAUU